GCGGGUGUGGCGGAACUGGCAGACGCACUAGACUUAGGAUCUAGCGCUUCACAGCGUGGGGGUUCGACUCCCUUCACCCGCA
Molecule: transfer RNA, 82 nt
Filed under: Lacicoccus qingdaonensis
Lineage: Bacteria; Bacillati; Bacillota; Bacilli; Caryophanales; Salinicoccaceae
Description: Salinicoccus qingdaonensis tRNA_Leu_TAG
Rfam family: tRNA
About the family: Transfer RNA (tRNA) molecules are approximately 80 nucleotides in length. Their secondary structure includes four short double-helical elements and three loops (D, anti-codon, and T loops). Further hydrogen bonds mediate the characteristic L-shaped molecular structure. tRNAs have two regions of fundamental functional importance: the anti-codon, which is responsible for specific mRNA codon recognition, and the 3' end, to which the tRNAs corresponding amino acid is attached (by aminoacyl-tRNA synthetases). tRNAs cope with the degeneracy of the genetic code in two manners: having more than one tRNA (with a specific anti-codon) for a particular amino acid; and 'wobble' base-pairing, i.e. permitting non-standard base-pairing at the 3rd anti-codon position.
Source: RNAcentral